This 253-nucleotide ribosomal RNA is filed under the name uncultured bacterium. Its description in RNAcentral is "partial 16S ribosomal RNA". It matches the Rfam family "Bacterial small subunit ribosomal RNA", at positions 524 to 776 of the family's 1533-position model. The record is from RNAcentral.
UACGUAGGGGGCAAGCGUUAUCCGGAUUUACUGGGUGUAAAGGGGGCGCAGACGGCAGCGCAAGCCAGGAGUGAAAGCCCGGGGCCCAACCCCGGGACUGCUCUUGGAACUGCGCGGCUGGAGUGCAGGAGGGGCAGGCGGAAUUCCUGGUGUAGCGGUGAAAUGCGUAGAUAUCAGGAGGAACACCGGUGGCGAAGGCGGCUUACUGGACUGUAACUGACGUUGAGGCUCGAAAGCGUGGGGAGCAAACAGG